AUUGAACGCUGGCGGCAUGCUUUACACAUGCAAGUCGAACAGCAGCGCGGGCUUCGGCCUGGCGGCGAGUGGCGAACGGGUGAGUAAUACAUCGGAACGUGCCCAGUAGUGGGGGAUAGCUCGGCGAAAGCCGGAUUAAUACCGCAUACGACCUGAGGGUGAAAGCGGGGGAUCUUCGGACCUCGCGCUAUUGGAGCGGCCGAUGGCAGAUUAGCUAGUUGGUGGGGUAAAGGCCUACCAAGGCGACGAUCUGUAGCUGGUCUGAGAGGACGACCAGCCACACUGGGACUGAGACACGGCCCAGACUCCUACGGGAGGCAGCAGUGGGGAAUUUUGGACAAUGGGCGAAAGCCUGAUCCAGCAAUGCCGCGUGUGUGAUGAAGGCCUUCGGGUUGUAAAGCACUCUUGGCGGGAACGAAAAGGACUGUGCCAAUACCACGGUUCGAUGACGGUACCCGCAGAAUAAGCACCGGCUAACUACGUG
Molecule: ribosomal RNA, 484 nt
Filed under: uncultured bacterium
Lineage: Bacteria
Description: partial 16S ribosomal RNA
Rfam family: Bacterial small subunit ribosomal RNA
Source: RNAcentral